Molecule: long non-coding RNA, 1336 nt
Filed under: Felis catus (domestic cat)
Lineage: Eukaryota; Metazoa; Chordata; Mammalia; Carnivora; Felidae
Description: lncRNA (ENSFCAG00000049777.1)
Source: RNAcentral
GACCUUACAGACUUGUAAACACUAUGAGCAUUUGAUGAAAACCAAGAAAUAUCCUUUGAAAGAAUAUCGUUGGCUAGCUCGGAGCGGGCCUAGCUUGGCACGGUGUGGUACCAAAUUAUUAAAUUUCUGGCUUUUGCAUUCUUAUAUUACAUUGGGCCAAAAUCAGGCUUUUGCUCAAAGGAAUCUAAACGGGUGGACGGAUAACAUCUCCAAGAGAUGACUGAACUUUAGCUGAUGCUUGCCACAUUAGCAAAAAGUAAUUUAUUGAAUUACUGAUGCACUUAAUAAAGUACUGCCACAAGCCUGGGGAGACAGAAUGCUGAGUCAGCCUGGCUUCAAAAUUAAGGACGGGGCUGGGCUACUGUUUCAAAGUAUCUUUACAUCCGGUACUUAACCAUUCGGCUGUUUACGAAACCAAGGCUCCUCCGGGAGCCAGAAAAACCAUAUCCUGAAAAAAACGAACUAAGAAACAAAAAAGCGUUAAUGAUAAGAAACUGAUUUGACUGGUAACCAUGCAGGUUUCGAGAUGAUUUGAAAUGACAGCAGCAAAGGCCAGUUUCAUUAACGGGCGUCACAGUUCAGCCAGGAUCGCAUAGGGGCUUAUUCGCACCUAGUUCAGAAGCUGGCAUAUUUCUCCCUCUUUGGAAGAUCAUUUACAUGUUUUCUAGUCAUUAAAGCAAGUAGCGCCCGAGGGCAGCAUUUUGUUAGCCCCAGUAGAGUUCCCGGAGAUCCGUGCACGUAAUACGGAGACACAAGUUUUCUGGCUUUUUGUUCGUUCACUUCUGGUUUUCUCCUGUAACCGCGGGGGGCGACAGGUCCUGCGUCACAGGCUCCCAGGGCCUGGCUCUGAAUAGUAGCUCCAUAUGCUGACGCCACCAGCCACGCCACCCCUUUGCCCUCUGCGACUGUCCCAGGCCACACGUCUCGACCACACGUGCCCAGGAUCCCCGGCUCCCACCCGGGGCUUAAAGGGAAAGCGGCGGCAGCCUCCGAUGACAGAUCCUGGAGGAAAAAACACGUUAGUGUCUGAGAGUCUGUGCGUGUGUCUCUCUCUGUGGCGGGACACGGGGUCCCCAAAGGCCCAUCCCCUCUCACCUCAAAAAGAGCCCCGCCUUUCACUGCAAGUGGGUUUUGUAACACGUUUGCUCUUCUCCUCCUCUGUCUCCUUAAACCCUUCACCCCAAGCCCCCCCCCCCCCCCAGGAAGCGAGUCAGCCCUAGAACUCAAACGUGAGAGCCCACACUGAAGACACAAACAGCCCUUCUCACCGAGGGAUUUCCACCUGGGCUGGAUUUCAAACAGCAAAAUAAAAGCUUUAUCCCAUGACGAGAACCCA